Molecule: ribosomal RNA, 251 nt
Filed under: uncultured bacterium
Lineage: Bacteria
Description: partial 16S ribosomal RNA
Rfam family: Bacterial small subunit ribosomal RNA
Source: RNAcentral
UACGUAGGUGGCAAGCGUUAUCCGGAUUUACUGGGUGUAAAGGGCGCGUAGGCGGGGAUGCAAGUCAGGUGUGAAAUCUAUGGGCUUAACCCAUAAACUGCACUUGAAACUGUAUUUCUUGAGUGUCGGAGAGGUAGACGGAAUUCCUAGUGUAGCGGUGAAAUGCGUAGAUAUUAGGAGGAACACCAGUGGCGAAGGCGGUCUACUGGACGAUAACUGACGUCGAGGCACGAAAGUGUGGGGAGCAAACA